UACGAAGGGGGCUAGCGUUGCUCGGAAUCACUGGGCGUAAAGGGCGCGUAGGCGGCCGUUCAAGUCGGGGGUGAAAGCCUGUGGCUCAACCACAGAAUGGCCCUCGAUACUGGAUGGCUCGAGACCGGAAGAGGUUGGUGGAACUGCGAGUGUAGAGGUGAAAUUCGUAGAUAUUCGCAAGAACACCAGUGGCGAAGGCGGCCAACUGGUCCGCUUCUGACGCUGAGGCGCGAAAGCGUGGGGAGCAAACAGG
This 253-nucleotide ribosomal RNA is filed under the name uncultured bacterium. RNAcentral's name for it is "partial 16S ribosomal RNA". It matches the Rfam family "Bacterial small subunit ribosomal RNA", at positions 524 to 776 of the family's 1533-position model. The record is from RNAcentral.